GAUGAACGCUGGCGGCGUGCCUAAUACAUGCAAGUCGAGCGAACAGAUGAGGAGCUUGCUCCUCUGACGUUAGCGGCGGACGGGUGAGUAACACGUGAUAACCUACCUAUAAGACUGGGAUAACUUCGGGAAACCGGAGCUAAUACCGGAUAAUAUAUUGAACCGCAUGGUUCAAUAGUGAAAGACGGUUUUGCUGUCACUUAUAGAUGGAUCCGCGCCGCAUUAGCUAGUUGGUAAGGUAACGGCUUACCAAGGCGACGAUGCGUAGCCGACCUGAGAGGGUGAUCGGCCACACUGGAACUGAGACACGGUCCAGACUCCUACGGGAGGCAGCAGUAGGGAAUCUUCCGCAAUGGGCGAAAGCCUGACGGAGCAACGCCGCGUGAGUGAUGAAGGUCUUCGGAUCGUAAAACUCUGUUAUUAGGGAAGAACAAAUGUGUAAGUAACUAUGCACGUCUUGACGGUACCUAAUCAGAAAGCCACGGCUAACUACGUG
This 496-nucleotide ribosomal RNA is filed under the name uncultured bacterium. RNAcentral's name for it is "partial 16S ribosomal RNA". It matches the Rfam family "Bacterial small subunit ribosomal RNA", at positions 28 to 507 of the family's 1533-position model. The record is from RNAcentral.